CAGCCGCCGCGGUAAUACCGGCGGCCCGAGUGGCGGUCACUAUUAUUGGGCUUAAAGCGUCCGUAGCCGGGUUGGGAAGUCCUCCGGGAAAUCUGGCCGCUUAACGGUCAGAAUGCCGGAGGAUACUCCCAGCCUAGGGAGCGGGAGAGGCCGAGGGUAUUCCCGGAGUAGGGGUGAAAUCCUAUAAUCCCGGGAGGACCACCUGUGGCGAAGGCGCUCGGCUGGAACGCGUCCGACGGUGAGGGACGAAGGCCAGGGGAGCAAACCGGAUUAGAUACCCGGGUAGUCCUGGCGGUAAACGAUGCGGGCUAGGUGUUGGGUGGGCUUAGAGCCCACCCAGUGCCGCAGGGAAGCCGUUAAGCCCGCCGCCUGGGGAGUACGGCCGCAAGGCUGAAACUUAAAGGAAUUGGCGGG
This 414-nucleotide ribosomal RNA is filed under the name uncultured microorganism. RNAcentral's name for it is "bacterial SSU rRNA". It matches the Rfam family "Archaeal small subunit ribosomal RNA", at positions 459 to 872 of the family's 1478-position model. The record is from RNAcentral.